UGCAUAGUUGAGGAAAGUCCACAAAAGGGGA
This 31-nucleotide non-coding RNA is filed under the name Mus musculus (house mouse). The record is from RNAcentral. Lineage: Eukaryota; Metazoa; Chordata; Mammalia; Rodentia; Muridae.